RNAcentral lists this ribosomal RNA (497 nucleotides) under uncultured bacterium. Its description in RNAcentral is "partial 16S ribosomal RNA". It matches the Rfam family "Bacterial small subunit ribosomal RNA", at positions 28 to 507 of the family's 1533-position model. The record is from RNAcentral.
GAUGAACGCUGGCGGCGUGCCUAAUACAUGCCAGUCGAGCGAACGGACGAGAAGCUUGGUUCUCUGAUGUUAGCGGCGGACGGGUGAGUAACACGUGGAUAACCUACCUAUAAGACUGGGAUAACUUCGGGAAACCGGAGCUAAUACCGGAUAAUAUUUUGAACCGCAUGGUUCAAAAGUGAAAGACGGUCUUGCUGUCACUUAUAGAUGGAUCCGCGCUGCAUUAGCUAGUUGGUAAGGUAACGGCUUACCAAGGCAACGAUGCAUAGCCGACCUGAGAGGGUGAUCGGCCACACUGGAACUGAGACACGGUCCAGACUCCUACGGGAGGCAGCAGUAGGGAAUCUUCCGCAAUGGGCGAAAGCCUGACGGAGCAACGCCGCGUGAGUGAUGAAGGUCUUCGGAUCGUAAAACUCUGUUAUUAGGGAAGAACAUAUGUGUAAGUAACUGUGCACAUCUUGACGGUACCUAAUCAGAAAGCCACGGCUAACUACGUG